UAGGGAAUCUUCGGCAAUGGGGGGAACCCUGACCGAGCAACGCCGCGUGAGUGAAGAAGGUUUUCGGAUCGUAAAGCUCUGUUGUUAAGGAAGAACGAGUGUGAGAAUGGAAAGUUCAUGCUGUGACGGUACUUAACCAGAAAGGGACGGCUAACUACGUGCCAGCAGCCGCGGUAAUACGGAGGUCCCGAGCGUUGUCCGGAUUUAUUGGGCGUAAAGCGAGCGCAGGCGGUUAGAAAAGUCUGAAGUGAAAGGCAGUGGCUCAACCAUUGUAGGCUUUGGAAACUGUUUAACUUGAGUGCAGAAGGGGAGAGUGGAAUUCCAUGUGUAGCGGUGAAAUGCGUAGAUAUAUGGAGGAACACCGGUGGCGAAAGCGGCUCUCUGGUCUGUAACUGACGCUGAGGCUCGAAAGCGUGGGGAGCGAACAGG
Molecule: ribosomal RNA, 429 nt
Filed under: Bacteroidota bacterium
Lineage: Bacteria; Pseudomonadati; Bacteroidota
Description: Bacteroidetes bacterium partial 16S ribosomal RNA
Rfam family: Bacterial small subunit ribosomal RNA
Source: RNAcentral